Molecule: ribosomal RNA, 253 nt
Filed under: uncultured bacterium
Lineage: Bacteria
Description: partial 16S ribosomal RNA
Rfam family: Bacterial small subunit ribosomal RNA
Source: RNAcentral
UACGGAGGGACCGAGCGUUGUCCGGAAUCAUUGGGCGUAAAGAGCGUGUAGGCGGCCACUUAAGUCCUGCGUGAAAUCUUGCGGCUCAACCGCAAGCGGUCGUGGGAAACUGGGUGGCUAGAGUGCGGGAGAGGAGAGUGGAAUUCCUGGUGUAGCGGUGGAAUGCGCAGAUAUCAGGAAGAACACCCGUGGCGAAGGCGGCUCUCUGGAACGCAACUGACGCUGAGACGCGAAAGCGUGGGGAGCAAACAGG